GUGAGGAAUUUUCCGCAAUGGGCGAAAGCCUGACGGAGCAAUGCCGCGUGAAGGAUGAAGGCCUAUGGGUUGUAAACUUCUUUUCUUAGAGAAGAAUAUUGACGGUAUCUGAGGAAUAAGCAUCGGCUAACUCUGUGCCAGCAGCCGCGGUAAGACAGAGGAUGCAGGCGUUAUCCGGAAUGAUUGGGCGUAAAGCGUCUGUAGGUGGCUUCAAAAGUCUCCUGUCAAAGAUCAGGGCUUAACCCUGGGCCGGCAGUAGAAACUCUGAGGCUAGAGUUUGGUAGGGGCAGAGGGAAUUCCCGGUGGAGCGGUGAAAUGCGUAGAGAUCGGGAGGAACACCAAAGGCGAAAGCACUCUGCUGGGCCACAACUGACACUGAGAGACGAAAGCGAGGGGAGCAAAAGGGAUUAGAAACCCCUGUAGUCC
This 426-nucleotide ribosomal RNA is filed under the name uncultured bacterium. RNAcentral's name for it is "partial 16S ribosomal RNA". It matches the Rfam family "Bacterial small subunit ribosomal RNA", at positions 354 to 796 of the family's 1533-position model. The record is from RNAcentral.